RNAcentral lists this long non-coding RNA (383 nucleotides) under Mytilus galloprovincialis (Mediterranean mussel). Lineage: Eukaryota; Metazoa; Mollusca; Bivalvia; Mytilida; Mytilidae. The record is from RNAcentral.
CCUUGACCUUAUUUUCAUUUUUUUGGACCAAGGAUCUCAAAUCAAAAGACCCUAGGUCUCUAUCACUUAUGGUUUACCAGUUAGAAAUGCAUUUCAAAAUUAUAUCAAAUACAAAAGGGGAAAUAACUCUCAUAUGGAAUCUAUAUACGGCUUCGGUCAAAAUAAAACAGAACAUCCUGAGGAUAUAACGAGCAAUUUGGAAAAAUAAAUUUGUCGGUUUCUUAUACGGUUGCGAAGCCUUAGAGAUAACAAGAAAAACAGUGUUCGGGGAGAUAACUCUUAUUUGGGAAAGUAUUCGGUUAAGCAGAGUUGGUUUCAAAAGCGUAUAAACUGUUCGAUAUCAUAUUCCAAAAAUCUAAGCGACAUCUUGCGAAACAAAAAAA